This 4000-nucleotide unclassified non-coding RNA is filed under the name Pomacea canaliculata. Its description in RNAcentral is "voltage-gated potassium channel subunit beta-2-like, transcript variant X2". Lineage: Eukaryota; Metazoa; Mollusca; Gastropoda; Architaenioglossa; Ampullariidae. The record is from RNAcentral.
UGUAGGUGGAGUAAAUAGAAAAUGGUGAACCUUACAAAAAUGUUGAGGGGAGGAAAUUGAAAGGCCACAUAUCGUGAUGGUAGACCCAAACCCAUUUUCAGCCUCGAGGACCGUGACCAUAGUUUUCGCGCUCGGUGACAGCAUCACAAGCAGACAGCACGUGCUACUCGGGUCCACUCGUGCGUGGCCGGGGGCGACACGCGGAACGAGGCGAGCGGAGGGGGAUGUUAUGACUGAGCACGCCGAGACCAGUGUUAUGUCUGCACGAGAACGAACAUAUCUGCACGGGGGGGACUAGAAAUCCUCGCGGGAUAAAAUAUUUCCAGCUUCUCACCUUUUGUCGAUUCGCUUCCGUGAGCAGUCUGCGCAUGACCAUUGCUCUUAACAACAGAUCGCGUGAGAGCUGGAAGGAAACAGAUUGUGCCGACACAAACACUCACACCCACAUCCAGUCACCCCCUCCUCCUUCUCUACCUUCCUCACCCUCUCCAUCGCCACCAUCGCGUGCCGCGCACACGGACCGACAGCACGGCGGUGGUUGUUGUAGCUGUCUGCGAGAGGCGGCCUGCAGCGGGACGGGGCCCGCUGGCUGAGCGGUCGGGAUCAGACGCAGCCCGUAAGGCUCUCGUCUCCAAACAGAGAGAGAAAGAAGAAAAAAAGUGAAGGUCGCUGCUGCAGCGUCGACGACAACGUCGAAGGUUGGGGUCUGGCACCGGAUGUGAUUGUUGCCGGCGGUGGUGGUAGUGGUGGUGGUGGUGACACUGGUGGUGACGGCGGGUGGCUGACGUGUUGGAUGCUGGACCGAGCAGCGUGGGUUUUCGGGAGGCCGUAGGGCAACGUUGAUGGUGGUCAGCGGUCGGUGUCGUGGUUGUGGAUGUCGCUGCUGCUGCUGACGGCGCUGUUGCCGGUGGGGCUGACGCGGAUUGUGAAGGGAAAGUCGGCCACUGGGAUGGUGGUCUGCCGGCCGGUGCAGGAGGUGGAGUGAUGCGAGCGGCUGAGCAAUGAGUGUGCGACCCCAGUACAGGAAUCUAGGAAAGUCAGGAUUGAGAGUAUCAAAUAUUGGACUAGGAACAUGGGUUACUUUUGGAGGACAAGUGUCAGAUGAGGUGGCGGAGGAGCUGCUGACGCUGGCGUACGAGAGUGGGAUAAACUUCUUUGAUACAGCAGAGGUGUAUGCUGCCGGCAAGGCAGAAAUCGUUCUUGGCAAGAUAUUAAAGAAGAAAAACUGGAGGCGAUCCAGCUAUGUGGUGUCGACAAAGAUUUUCUGGGGUGGCAAAGCCGAGACUGAGAGAGGUCUGUCUAGGAAACAUAUCAUUGAAGGUCUGAAAGGCUCCCUGGAGAGACUGCAGCUGGACUAUGUAGACAUCAUCUUCGCCAACAAGUCUGACAACCACACGCCUAUGGAGGAAGUGGUGAGAGCCUUUACACACGUCAUCAACAUGGGGUGGGCCAUGUACUGGGGUACCUCCCGCUGGACACCCAUGGAGAUCAUGGAAGCAUACUCAGUGGCCCGUCAGUUCAACCUGAUCCCUCCCAGUGCCGAGCAGGCCGAGUAUCACCUGUUUCAGCGAGAAAAAGUGGAGAUCCAAAUGCCAGAGCUCUACAAUAAAAUUGGGCUGGGAACAGUGACCUGGUCCCCCCUAGCUUGCGGAAUACUGACAGGAAAAUACGAUGAUGGUGUGCCUAUCUACUCCAGGGCAGCUCUAAAGGGCUACACGUGGCUGAAGGACAAGAUACUCAGUGAGGAGGGGCGUCGCCAGCAGGCCAAGCUGAGGGAUGUGGCGGUCAUCGCCCAGCGUUUGGGCUGCUCCUUGGCGCAACUCUCCAUAGCAUGGUGUCUGAAGAACGAGCACGUGCACAACGUCCUCCUGGGCGCCUCCACGGUGGAGCAACUGUACGAAGACAUCCAGGCGUUACAGUUUGUUCCUAAACUGACUAGCGAAAGUUUGGCUGACUUGGAAGAUAUACUAGAUAACAAUCCUCAACCCAAAUCGCCCCAAGGGUCCACGAAACGCGGUUUUUCAUGUACCUGCCCAAGCUGACUGGUACAGUAAUGGCGGAGAUGGACAGAAUAUUGGGCAACCGACCAGUCGCCAAGCGCGAAUUGCUCAACAGCUGCUAGCCUUUUCUAGACCUUUCUGUCAAGAGUAUGACCACGAUGAAGUAGCUCACACAACCGGCGGGUAGGACGGUCAACUGUCUUCACCAUGGUAGUGGAGGAUGUAGCAUGGACAGCAACGCUCACCUUGGUGAUUUCUCUCAGAACAGUACAUUUACUCUGAAUGAACGGGUUUUUUUCUGAUACUAAGGUAGAACUUGAAGAAAACCUUGAGCGUGUUUUGCUUAGAUGGAUACUUGCCUUAGCUGCUUCAUUAACGCCCAUUGAGGGAGACUCUUGUAAGCUUAAAAAGUGUCUCGGAAAGACAGACAGAGGGAGAAAUAAUUCUCCAUGUCUCUUGGGACUGUCAGAUUUACUGGAAAAAAUAAAACCUAUCCUUUUGUCUUUUAAAAACAGAAGAGACACUCUACCUGAUGUGAUUGAUCUCUAUCGGUGUUAUUGACAGUGACUGUGUUGGUCCAACAUAGAGAAGUGCUUGUAUAUACUUUAAUAGCAAAACUUUUCGCCCGACAGCAUGUGGAAAUAAACUACCGACAUAUUUAUUCGACAGAUUGUUUUGCUCUGUGGCUUUCAUGGUAGCAUAAAUUAUUUUCUGUAUAUAAUGAAUGACUCGAUAAAAACAUUUACAAUCAUGGGUUGAUUUUUGUGUGCGCGGUCAGAACAGACAAGGACAUGCACCUAGCAUUUAUUUUGAAAUAAAAAAGGUCUUUCCAGUAUUUUGUCCUGGAAGUCAACUAAUAGUGAGAUUAUUAACAUGAACAGUGUUUUUUUUUAAAUUUGUUGUAAAGAAGUUGUUAAAAUCGUUUUGAAGUCAAGCGACAAUAUGGAACCUUUAAAGUGGUAUAUGUGAAGUAGUAUCAUAGGAAAAGUGUAUAUGUGCAUAUAACCACUAGGACACGUUAGAAUAACGGAAAUAAUGGUACAUUUUGGGAAAGAUAAUGAUUCAGACAGUUGUAGAUGUAACAAUCCAUUGUAUAUUUAGCAGGAACAUUGACACGGCAAAGCUAAACUUUAAGAUUUUUCCCUAAAAUUGUGGUCUACCUACAUGUUCCAGUCUCUUUCUCAAGGGGUGGAUCGGUCUGGAAAUUUUCUGAUCAUUGUUUUGUCCUUUCAUGCCUCUUUUUUUGUUCAACAUCUAUUCCCAGACUUGACUGCCUUCUUCCUUGGUUCAGUCAUCGGUUUGAUUAUAUUAGUAAUUGUAAAAGCUAGAUUGUCACAUGGUGUACAAAACCUGUGGUUAGUUUUUAAAGUAAAAUCUCUGUAAAUCACAUUCCAUAGUCCAUCUGUGUAAAUCUUUAUAUUUUAAAUGUUGUUGUUUUCUUUAACCCCUCCCCCCUAUCUCUCCGUUUAUUUCACAUUAGAGUGCAAUUUUUUGGUAAAAAAAAAAAACCUGCACAGAUUAUACAUGUACAUUUGUUUAUUGCAAGUGAGUGUGAUAGUUCAUUUGCUGUUGUUUACUUGCAAAAUGAUUUUACACGACGUAUGCACAGGUGGUUUGUUUAUUUAUUAAUCAAUUAAGAAAGUUAAAUUUGUUCAUGCUCUUGUUUACAAAAAUAUGCCUGUUUAACAAAGAAUAUACCAUAUACAGAAAGUUAAUUCAGUUGUCUUAUUGUUGUAUAAAAUUUUUAAGUAGGUGUAUUUUAUUUUCAGAGGAAAUGAGAAAAUAUAUUUAAAAUGUCACUUAGAGCAGCAAAUACGUUUCCCUUGUCUCUGUCUUAUUAUGUUUGAUAUGGAAUAAUAUUAGAGAUUACAUUUAGUGUUAAGACAACUGCUUAACAAGCUUGGAGUAUUUGUUUCUUCAUUGCCAGUCAUGUUGUUGAUCAUUUUCUGAUUUAAAGGAAGUAGCUAUGUGGUUCCAAAGUAAAUCUGAGAGCUUAGUAA